RNAcentral lists this non-coding RNA (45 nucleotides) under Trichobilharzia regenti. The record is from RNAcentral. Lineage: Eukaryota; Metazoa; Platyhelminthes; Trematoda; Strigeidida; Schistosomatidae.
AGCCGACAGACGAGUCCAAAAUAAGACGAAAUGCACAUCCCGGAU